AUGGAAAUUUUGAAAAUGUAACAUCGCUCCCUAUAAGCGGAGCAUACUCCAGUUUGAACUAUGCAUCUUAGAAAUAUUUAUUCAUGUCAUGUUGCCAAAAUAUUGUAUACCCAAAAUGUAAAGCUUAAUAUGUUUCUAUGCAAAAAGGGGCUUGGUUUAGUGUUCUGAUGGGCUUCGCUUCAUGCACAGGCUGCCCUACGAUGAUAAGGAUGAAAUUCGAAAUUUAUAUGAUCAGAUAUGAAAUGCGUUUGUGAUAUUAUAUCAAUCAAGUACAAAGUGUUUUAAAUGUAUAAUUAAGCCGCGACCUAGAAAGAAUAUACGAGUGCUAUGCCAGUGCGCCCUCAUCGGAACGAAAGCCGUGUGCAAAUUUUCAGCAUGAUUGGACAUUUGGAAAUGUCAAUUGGAAUCUUCUACGCUGAGAUGAAAACAAGUUAAAUGUUCAUCACAAUCCACACGAUAGACAGAAGUGUUUUAAAUUAAUUCAAUAUCUGCUCGUCUUUAACCGGAAUUCUUAAG
This is a long non-coding RNA of Glossina fuscipes, 516 nucleotides long. RefSeq lists it as uncharacterized. The transcript has 3 exons. The record is from RefSeq and is a predicted model, not a curated record. NCBI's taxonomy places the organism in Eukaryota, Metazoa, Arthropoda, Insecta, Diptera, Glossinidae.